AACGAACGCUAGCGGGAUGCCUCAAACAUGCAAGUCGCACGCGAAAGUCUUCGGACGAGUAGAGUGGCGCACGGGUGAGUAACACGUAGCUAAUGUACCUUUUCGCUGGGGAUAACUCCGGGAAACCGGAGCUAAUACCGAAUAGUCCAACGAGAUCUGCGGGUCUUGUUGGCAAAGCCGUAAGGCGCGAAAAGAUCAGGCUGCGGUCCAUUAGCUUGUUGGUGGGGUAAUGGCCUACCAAGGCGACGAUGGAUAGCUGGUCUGAGAGGAUGAUCAGCCACACUGGAACUGAAACACGGUCCAGACUCCCACGGGAGGCAGCAGUUGGGAAUUUUGGACAAUGGGGGCAACCCUGAUCCAGCAAUCCCGCGUGAGUGACGAAGGUCUUCGGAUCGUAAAGCUCUUUUAGUUGGGAAGAAGGGAAACUUGACUGUACCAACAGAAAAGCACCGGCUAACUCUGUG
Molecule: ribosomal RNA, 464 nt
Filed under: uncultured bacterium
Lineage: Bacteria
Description: bacterial SSU rRNA
Rfam family: Bacterial small subunit ribosomal RNA
Source: RNAcentral